GACGAACGCUGGCGGCGUGCUUAACACAUGCAAGUCGAACGGGAAGUCCCGGCUUUGGGGGAGUGCUCGAGGUGCGAACGGGUGAGUAACACGUGAGUAAGCUGCCCUUGACUUUGGGAUAACUUCAUGAAACUUAGGCUAAUACCGGGUAGGAGCUCCUGCUGCAUGGUGGGGGUUGGAAAGUUUCGGCGGUUGGGGAGGGACUCGCGGCUUAUCAGCUUGUUGGGUUGGUAGUGUCUUACCAAGGCUUUGCACCGUGGACGGGCUGCGCGGGUGAGCUGCCACAUUGGGCCUGAGCUAAGACCCAGCCUCCUACGGGACGGAGCGGUGGAGAAUAUUGCACAAUGGGCGGAAGCCUAACGUAGCCCAGCCGCGUGCGGGAUGACGGCAUUCGGGUUGUAAACCACUUUCGCCUGUGACGAAGCGUGAGUGACGGUAAUGGGUAAAGAAGCCCCGGCUAACUACGUG
Molecule: ribosomal RNA, 468 nt
Filed under: uncultured bacterium
Lineage: Bacteria
Description: partial 16S ribosomal RNA
Rfam family: Bacterial small subunit ribosomal RNA
Source: RNAcentral